This is a long non-coding RNA of Felis catus (domestic cat), 2754 nucleotides long. RefSeq lists it as uncharacterized. The record is from RefSeq and is a predicted model, not a curated record. NCBI's taxonomy places the organism in Eukaryota, Metazoa, Chordata, Mammalia, Carnivora, Felidae. The transcript has 2 exons.
GUGCGAAUGUGGUAGGGGCAGAGGGAGAGGGAGAGAGAAUCCCAAGCAUGUUCUGAAACCACAACCGUAAGAUUACCACCUGAGCCAAUAUCAAGAGUUGGAUGCUUAACUGACAGAGCCACCCAGGCACCCCUAUCAUAUCCUUUAUUUCAUUAUAAACUGGUAAACUUAGGUGUUUCCCUGAGUUCUAUGGGUUGUUUUAGCAAAUGAUAGAAUCCAAGAGUGGGUGGGCAGGUCAUGGGAACCUCUCAUUUGUGGCCAAGUAGGACAGAAGUUGUGGGUAACCUGGGACCUACUACUUGCGAUUGGUGUUGAACUGAGGCAGGGGUAAUCUUUCUUUUCUUUCUUUCUUUUUUUUUUUUUUUUGAAUAGACAGCAUGUUUAUUUCAUUCUGUACAUCCACCCUGUCUUUGUUUUAACAAAUAAAACCACUAUUGGUAUUCCAAAACGUUACUGAGAGCAAUAAAGAAUUCCAGCUCCCACUUCUUGAAUAUCUGCUGCCAUCUCAAUGUAUCACACAGAUAAAAGGCUGAUGCAAACCUGCCGUGGAGUUAGGCAUGCACGAGGUGACUGUGAAUUUCAAAGCAAGUCUUCGAUUUUGAUCUACAGGUUUUCAAUUCUUUGUCUCCUUGUUUGCGACCCUUCUGCAAAUGACGGGAGUUGGAAUACUCAUCCAUUUCAAAGGUAUUCCAGUCUGGACCCCCGAAAGGCAGCCUGCCCACUGGCUGCUGUUAUUUCCUCAAAGUACAGAUCCAGAUGUCAUUGAAAGCUGAGCUGCAGCGCAUCCUGAGAAGAGUUUUCCAGUUUUCCUUCCUGGUAUUUGCCAUUUAGCUUACUACGUAGUCAGUGCUAAGUGUUUCGCCAUCAUCCGCUUUAAGUAAAGCAUAAGCCAGCACGGUGCUCCGGGGGAUUACCGCUCCGCAGUGCUGGAAGGCUCCAUCCCAGUGUUGGUGUUUAUAUCAACCUACUUUAUAUUAAGAGUAACUGACCUAACAGGUGACAGUGAAGACAUGGUGUAUGUAUCUGUGGCCGACUCAAUAUCAGGAUUCUACAUGUAAUAUUUUCUAGGCCUUCAAUUUGACAUCAGGCCUAUAAUUUGGUAGAAAGGAUUUUUCAUUUCCUUAACUCUCAAGGCAUCGCUGAAAGGUAAGGCUGCUACCUGCAAAGACAGUCUUCUUUUUUUUUUUUUUUUUUUUACUGCUGGUGAAAACCCAGCCGUGUUGAGGGCGUCACUGGCACGGGUUAAUAUGUGAUCUCGACAUUGUAAUGCUCACAUGAGAACACCUUGUUCUAUAUCAACAAACCUAUUCACCACUUCCUUCAUACACCUGUUCACACUAGAGGCAGGGGUAAUUUUUCCCCCCUUAAUGAACCACAUUUAUUAAAAGGACUAAGACUGUACAUAAAAAUCCAAGAUCUCUAAAAAGCCUACGGGAGCUGUGGCAUCGGGUUUUAGUUUCUUGACAUUACUGAGUUGGGGUGGGGGGGACGGCAAGAGGGCGAAAUCGUUUUCCUUAAACACAUUUCAAGUUAGUACAGAGUAGCUGAAUACAUUCUUAACUAUCUAAGAAGCAAACAGAAUAUUCCCAAACAUCAGGGAUGAUGAGAGAACCAAUCCCCCUGCCCCUGCAACUGUUGUCAGGUGAUCUGGAAAUUCUUUACAAAGCCAAAGCACCAAUCGUGCAUAAUCUCAGACACGUAUGUAGACUAUUUGUACAAUAUAUCCCACGUCAUCCUACGGUGUAUCCAAGCACACACAAAACUAUACACGGUAAAAUUCUCUCUUUUUUUCUUUUUUGGCGACUCCCUGGCACCUGUCCUCUCCUGAGCCCUACUGGCCACCCCGGCACGCAGCAGAGGCCUGGCAGACAUGGAGUCAUGACCACGAUCAUCAUGGUCUGGCAGCUGGACACCAAACGGGAAUAGGAUGUCUUGGGAAAUGCCAGCUCGGACUGACGUGACAGAGGACCAGGAGACAUCCCAGUCUAUUCCAACUGUCCUCACUGGCACUCUCCAACCCCUGAGAAAGGGAAGGAGUGUGUACACGGGUGAACGUUGCGGAGAGGGGGGCUCGUAAACUGAUCAGCAUUGCCCAGAUUUGACAGACAGGAUGUGUUCAUCAUCGGGCAGAUGAGUAGCUCCAAAGACAACUUGCCAAGGGGGGGAAAUAAAAAAGUCACGCUUCUUGUUCAGGUGAGUUCGGGGCCUUACAUAAGCACCUAUUAUAACCGGGCUGAGAAUCGGCAUCCGCCAGCCUCACAGAGGGAACUUCACAGUCCCAGCCAGCUGUUUGCAACGAUUUAGUGUGUUACAGGCUUCUUUUUCAAGGGAGAGACCAGCAGUGUUUAAAUCCUCUCUUUACAAAUUAUUCAAGAGCAUUGAAAAGGCAUUCGACAGUUACACAAGGUCCUGCUCGAUCAUUUGCAUAAUUACUACUAGCAUAUCUUUGUAUCCCACAUCAAAGUUAAAUUUUCCCCUUACCGAAUAUCGUUUUAAGUCAACUGGAUUGAACAAGGACUUUUGAGUUGCAAAGUUACACCAGAAAAUUGAAUUUGAUUGUCAGCAUUUAAAUAUAAUCUAUUUUCGAUACUUUAAAUAUUCAUAUAUACAGUGCAUAACAUUCAGACAUAAAAUCAAAUUAAGCAAUUAUAUCAUACUUGAGACUUUAUAAUUCUUUGUAGCUCUCUGAGUUGUAUCCCUUCCCCUCUUCCUUUCCUUCCAAACAAAUAAAACAUGUUAAGUAUAAAGUUCAAA